RNAcentral lists this ribosomal RNA (397 nucleotides) under uncultured bacterium. RNAcentral's name for it is "bacterial SSU rRNA". It matches the Rfam family "Bacterial small subunit ribosomal RNA", at positions 37 to 433 of the family's 1533-position model. The record is from RNAcentral.
UGGCGGCAUGCUUUACACAUGCAAGUCGAACGGCAGCGGGGGCUUCGGCCUGCCGGCGAGUGGCGAACGGGUGAGUAAUGCAUCGGAACGUGCCCAUGUCGUGGGGGAUAACGUAUCGAAAGGUACGCUAAUACCGCAUACGCCCUGAGGGGGAAAGCGGGGGAUUCUUCGGAACCUCGCGCGAUUGGAGCGGCCGAUGUCGGAUUAGCUAGUUGGUGGGGUAAAGGCCCACCAAGGCGACGAUCCGUAGCGGGUCUGAGAGGAUGAUCCGCCACACUGGGACUGAGACACGGCCCAGACUCCUACGGGAGGCAGCAGUGGGGAAUUUUGGACAAUGGGCGCAAGCCUGAUCCAGCCAUGCCGCGUGAGUGAAGAAGGNCUUCGGGUUGUAAAGCUC